GACUCCAUGAAGUCGGAAUCGCUAGUAAUCGUGGAUCAGAAUGCCACGGUGAAUACGUUCCCGGGCCUUGUACACACCGCCCGUCACACCAUGGGAGUGAGUUGCAAAAGAAGUAGGUAGCUUAACCUUCGGGAGGGCGCUUACCACUUUGUGAUUCAUGACUGGGGUGAAGUCGUAACAAGGUAACCGUAGGGGAACCUGCGGUUGGAUCACCUCCUUA
RNAcentral lists this ribosomal RNA (220 nucleotides) under Escherichia coli. RNAcentral's name for it is "partial 16S ribosomal RNA". It matches the Rfam family "Bacterial small subunit ribosomal RNA", at positions 1314 to 1533 of the family's 1533-position model. Lineage: Bacteria; Pseudomonadati; Pseudomonadota; Gammaproteobacteria; Enterobacterales; Enterobacteriaceae. The record is from RNAcentral.